GACGAACGCUGGCGGCGUGCCUAAUACAUGCAAGUCGAGCGGACUGAAGGGGAGCUGGCUCUUGUUCGGUCAGCGACGGACGGGUGAGUAACACGUGGGCAACCUGCCCGCAAGACCGGGAUAACUCCGGGAAACCGGAGCUAUGGCUGGUUAUGCCGCAACGCCGGGUGGUGUUUGGUGAAAGGGCGGGGCAGGGGGCGGGUUCGGGGCUUACCGGCUGGGCGUUGGGGAGAUGGCUCACCAAGGCCUAGACAGGUAGCCGGCCGGAGAGGGUGUCCGGCCACACUGGGACCGAGACACGGCCCACACUCCUGCGGCAGGCAGCAGUAGGGAGUCUUCCGCAAUGGGCGAAAGGCUGACGGCGCGACGCCGCGUGCGCGGAGAGGGACUUCGGGUCGUGAAGCUCUGUUGUGAGGGAGGAAGGAGCGCCGUUUGAAGAAGGCGGCGCUGUGACGGUACCUGCCGAGGAAGCCCCGGCUAACUACGUG
This 488-nucleotide ribosomal RNA is filed under the name uncultured bacterium. RNAcentral describes it as "partial 16S ribosomal RNA". It matches the Rfam family "Bacterial small subunit ribosomal RNA", at positions 28 to 507 of the family's 1533-position model. The record is from RNAcentral.